GAGGUUCAAGACGCUCUACUGUAGUGAAGAGGUUCAAGACGCUCUACUGUAGUGAAGAGGUUCAAGACGCUCUACUGUAGUGAAGAGGUUCAAGACGCUCUACUGUAGUGAAGAGGUUCAAGACGCUCUACUGUAGUGAAGAGGUUCAAGACGCUCUACUGUAGUGAAGAGGUUCAAGACGCUCUACUGUAGUGAAGAGGUUCAAGACGCUCUACUGUAGUGAAGAGGUUCAAGACGCUCUACUGUAGUGAAGAGGUUCAAGACGCUCUACUGUAGUGAAGAGGUUCAAGACGCUCUACUGUAGUGAAG
Molecule: long non-coding RNA, 309 nt
Organism: Oncorhynchus keta (chum salmon)
Lineage: Eukaryota; Metazoa; Chordata; Actinopteri; Salmoniformes; Salmonidae
Exons: 3
Source: RefSeq, a predicted model, not a curated record